RNAcentral lists this ribosomal RNA (245 nucleotides) under uncultured bacterium. RNAcentral describes it as "partial 16S ribosomal RNA". It matches the Rfam family "Bacterial small subunit ribosomal RNA", at positions 524 to 768 of the family's 1533-position model. The record is from RNAcentral.
UACGGAGGGUGCGAGCGUUGUCCGGAAUCACUGGGCGUAAAGGGCGCGUAGGUGGCGCGGGCAGUCAACGGUGAAAGUUCGGGGCUCAACCCUGAAUCGGCCGUCGAUACUCCCGGGCUGGAGCACUGUAGAGGCUAAUGGAAUUCCGGGUGUAGCGGUGGAAUGCGUAGAGAUCCGGAAGAACACCGGUGGCGAAGGCGGUUAGCUGGGCAGUUGCUGACACUGAGGCGCGACAGCGUGGGGAG